GUAGGGAAUAUUGGUCAAUGGACGAAAGUCUGAACCAGCCAUUCCGCGUGCAGGAAGAAGAUUCUAUGGAUUGAAAACUGCUUUUAGCAGAGAAGAAACGCCUUGAUUGAUGAGGGUUUGACGGUAUCUGCGGAAUAAGCACCGGCUAACUCCGUGCCAGCAGCCGCGGUAAUACGGGGGGUGCAAGCGUUAUCCGGAAUCACUGGGUUUAAAGGGUGCGUAGGCGGGAAAUUAAGUCAGUGGUGAAAGUCUGUUGCUUAACGAUAGAAUUGCCGUUGAUACUGAUUUUCUUGAAUUGGGUUGAGGUUAGCGGAAUGUGACAUGUAGCGGUGAAAUGCAUAGAUAUGUCAUGGAACACCAAUUGCGAAGGCAGCUAGCUGGGCCUUGAUUGACGCUGAGGCACGAAAGCGUGGGUAGCGAACAGGAUUAGAAACCCCUGUAGUCC
RNAcentral lists this ribosomal RNA (445 nucleotides) under uncultured bacterium. RNAcentral's name for it is "partial 16S ribosomal RNA". It matches the Rfam family "Bacterial small subunit ribosomal RNA", at positions 354 to 796 of the family's 1533-position model. The record is from RNAcentral.